Molecule: ribosomal RNA, 254 nt
Filed under: uncultured bacterium
Lineage: Bacteria
Description: partial 16S ribosomal RNA
Rfam family: Bacterial small subunit ribosomal RNA
Source: RNAcentral
UACGGGGGGGGCAAGCGUUGUUCGGAAUUACCGGGCGUAAAGGGCUCGUAGGUGGCCAACUAAGUCAGACGUGAAAUCCCUCGGCUUAACCGGGGAACUGCGUCUGAUACUGGAUGGCUUGAGUUUGGGAGAGGGAUGCGGAAUUCCAGGUGUAGCGGUGAAAUGCGUAGAUAUCUGGAGGAACACCGGUGGCGAAGGCGGCAUCCUGGACCAACACUGACGCUGAGUGAGCGAAAGCCAGGGGAGCAAACGGG